GAGUUUGAUCAUGGCUCAGAUUGAACGCUGGCGGUAUGCUUAACACAUGCAAGUCGAACGGUAACAGGCCUUCGGGGCGCUGACGAGUGGCGGACGGGUGAGUAACGCGUAGGAAUCUGCCUCAUAGUGGGGGACAACGUGGGGAAACUCACGCUAAUACCGCAUACGCCCUACGGGGGAAAGCGGGGGAUCUUCGGACCUCGCGCUAUGAGAUGAGCCUGCGUUAGAUUAGCUAGUUGGUAGGGUAAAGGCCUACCAAGGCGACGAUCUAUAGCUGGUCUGAGAGGACGAUCAGCCACACUGGGACUGAGACACGGCCCAGACUCCUACGGGAGGCAGCAGUGGGGAAUAUUGGACAAUGGGCGCAAGCCUGAUCCAGCAAUACCGCGUGUGUGAAGAAGGCCUUAGGGUUGUAAAGCUCUUUUGGUCGGGAAGAAAGUGCCCUGCUUAAUACGCGGGGUAUUUGACGGUACCGGCAGAAUAAGCACCGGCUAACUACGUG
Molecule: ribosomal RNA, 502 nt
Filed under: uncultured bacterium
Lineage: Bacteria
Description: bacterial SSU rRNA
Rfam family: Bacterial small subunit ribosomal RNA
Source: RNAcentral